This 60-nucleotide transfer RNA is filed under the name Thermomonospora cellulosilytica. RNAcentral's name for it is "Actinomadura cellulosilytica tRNA-Arg". Lineage: Bacteria; Bacillati; Actinomycetota; Actinomycetes; Streptosporangiales; Thermomonosporaceae. The record is from RNAcentral.
GUAGCUCAGGGGAUAGAGCAACGGUUUCCUAAAUCGAUCACGCGGGUUUUCCCGCCCGCG